GGAUCUGUAGUGUAGUGGUUAUCACCUCUGCUUUGUGCGCAGAAGGUCCUGGGUUCAAUCCCCAGCAGUACCA
Oreochromis niloticus (Nile tilapia) is the source of this 73-nucleotide non-coding RNA. The record is from Rfam. NCBI's taxonomy places the organism in Eukaryota, Metazoa, Chordata, Actinopteri, Cichliformes, Cichlidae.